AGUGAACGCUGGCGGUAGGCCUAACACAUGCAAGUCGAACGGCAGCACAGUAAGAGCUUGCUCUUACGGGUGGCGAGUGGCGGACGGGUGAGGAAUACAUCGGAAUCUACUUUUUCGUGGGGGAUAACGUAGGGAAACUUACGCUAAUACCGCAUACGACCUACGGGUGAAAGCAGGGGAUCUUCGGACCUUGCGCGAUUGAAUGAGCCGAUGUCGGAUUAGCUAGUUGGCGGGGUAAAGGCCAACCAAGGCGACGAUCGGUAGCUGGUCUGAGAGGAUGAUCAGCCACACUGGAACGGGGACACGGUCCAGACUCCUACGGGAGGCAGCAGUGGGGAAUAUUGGACAAUGGGCGCAAGCCUGAUCCAGCCAUACCGCGUGGGUGAAGAAGGCCUUCGGGUUGUAAAGCCCUUUUGUUGGGAAAGAAAAGCAGCAGGUUAAUACCCCGCUGUUCUGACGGUACCCAAAGAAUAAGCACCGGCUAACUUCGUG
This 492-nucleotide ribosomal RNA is filed under the name uncultured bacterium. RNAcentral's name for it is "partial 16S ribosomal RNA". It matches the Rfam family "Bacterial small subunit ribosomal RNA", at positions 29 to 507 of the family's 1533-position model. The record is from RNAcentral.